RNAcentral lists this long non-coding RNA (840 nucleotides) under Chinchilla lanigera (long-tailed chinchilla). RNAcentral's name for it is "lncRNA (ENSCLAG00000022423.1)". The record is from RNAcentral. Lineage: Eukaryota; Metazoa; Chordata; Mammalia; Rodentia; Chinchillidae.
AUGUUCCCAUGGGCUCUGGGCCUCCAGCUGGACUCAUGCAGGACUUGCUCAGAUGGAUUCCUUGAGUCUCUAGUGUGUGGACAGAUAUCUUCUACUCUUCUGCAUUUGACUUUUUGGCUACAUUUUAAAGUGGUGCCUAAACAGACCAUUCUAAAAAGAAACCCCGGGUAAGUGUAUGUAUUUACUAGAUUUAGUAAUUAUAUCCUUAUAAAUGAUAAUCUCAUGUUCUUAUCUUUGUUACAGGUAUGCUGUGAAGAGGAAUCACUCUGAACAUUCGAAAUAUUAUACUUAAGAAAAGUGUCUUAAGUGAGGAACUCUCUAAUUUAGGCAAUAAAACUUUCACAAAAUUCUGGAAAAAUAUUUUCUAAAGCAAUAAAUCUGGCAUAGUUGGCAGAAAAUGUGGUUAUAUACCUAGAAAAAAAAGAAUAAAAAAUGAAGCUUUAGAAAUGAUUGAGCUAGGGCCAGGGAUAUAGCUCAGUAGCACAGCGCCUGCCUGGCAAGCACAAGGUCAUGAGCUCGAUUCCCCGUACCAAAAAGAAAAAAAAAAGAAAUGAUUGGGCUUAGCAAGGGGGCUGAGGGUAUGUCUCAGUGACAGCACAUUUACCUAGAGUGUGCCAGGCCCUGGGUUUGCUUCCUAGUCUACACACUCACACACACACAGAAGCAUACAUACACACAUGCACACAAACACAUGCACACAUUCCUCACAAAGUUUAGCAAUGUUGUCUGUGGGAUCAACCUACUAAAAUUAAUAAAAAUUCUUUGUCAGAAAACACCUAACAAGAAAUUUAAAAAUAAGAACUUUCCCUCAUAAUAGCAACAAAAUCUAUAAAAUGUGCA